RNAcentral lists this ribosomal RNA (253 nucleotides) under uncultured bacterium. Its description in RNAcentral is "partial 16S ribosomal RNA". It matches the Rfam family "Bacterial small subunit ribosomal RNA", at positions 524 to 776 of the family's 1533-position model. The record is from RNAcentral.
UACAGAGGUCUCAAGCGUUGUUCGGAUUCAAUGGGCGUAAAGGGUGCGUAGGCGGCGUGGUAAGUCGGGUGUGAAAUCUCGGAGCUUAACUCCGAAACUGCAUUCGAUACUGCCGUGCUUGAGGACUGGAGAGGAGACUGGAAUUUACGGUGUAGCGGUGAAAUGCGUAGAUAUCGUAAGGAAGACCAGUGGCGAAGGCGGGUCUCUGGACAGUUCCUGACGCUGAGGCACGAAGGCCAGGGGAGCAAACGGG